GAUGAACGCUGGCGGCGUGCCUAAUACAUGCAAGUCGAGCGAACGGGCGAGAAGCUUGCUUCUCUGAUGUUAGCGGCGGACGGGUGAGUAACACGUGGAUAACCUACCUAUAAGACUGGGAUAACUUCGGGAAACCGGAGCUAAUACCGGAUAAUAUUUUGAACCGCAUGGUUCAAAAGUGAAAGACGGUCUUGCUGUCACUUAUAGAUGGAUCCGCGCUGCAUUAGCUAGUUGGUAAGGUAACGGCUUACCAAGGCAACGAUGCAUAGCCGACCUGAGAGGGUGAUCGGCCACACUGGAACUGAGACACGGUCCAGACUCCUACGGGAGGCAGCAGUAGGGAAUCUUCCGCAAUGGGCGAAAGCCUGACGGAGCAACGCCGCGUGAGUGAUGAAGGUCUUCGGAUCGUAAAACUCUGUUAUUAGGGAAGAACAUAUGUGUAAGUAACUGUGCACAUCUUGACGGUACCUAAUCAGAAGGCCACGGCUAACUACGUG
This 497-nucleotide ribosomal RNA is filed under the name uncultured bacterium. RNAcentral's name for it is "partial 16S ribosomal RNA". It matches the Rfam family "Bacterial small subunit ribosomal RNA", at positions 28 to 507 of the family's 1533-position model. The record is from RNAcentral.